Molecule: long non-coding RNA, 1077 nt
Filed under: Parus major (Great Tit)
Lineage: Eukaryota; Metazoa; Chordata; Aves; Passeriformes; Paridae
Description: lncRNA (ENSPMJG00000017540.1)
Source: RNAcentral
AUGGUUAAGAGGGAAAAGUGUUCUCCACUUCCCCAUCCUCUCUCUGGAGCUCUGCCCUCAGUCUCCCGUUUAUCCUUAACCAGUCCUUCCCAGUCCUUCUGUCCGUGCUUUCUAACGCUGUUGCUGCUUUGCAAACCUUUACAGACCCAUCACCGAGGGCAGUCUCCAUCUCUCUGCGAGGUUACAGAGCCCGUGGCAAACUCACACUUGUGCCAACAAAAGCUGAGUUUGGGUAAGAGUCGUUUUCAUUUCUUUAACUGUUCCCACGACACAAUUUCCAGGUGCAGUCCCUGCCCCAAGCAGCUCACAGUGCUGCCAACACUCCAGCACCUCACAAGGGAGGAGGAAGCGAGGAGAAAAGCCCCGAAGGCCUGUGCUGUCCCCUGCACCGAGAGCUGCAGCUCUGACACGUCAUCGUCACGACUGGACGGCGGAACAAGACCCCCCGUGAGCACCCAUGGGCCAGGGGCUGCACCCAGCACAGGCAGCAGGGACCAGCUCCUGUCCUGCCCGAGGGACACCUGGCACCCCGGGAUCCCAGGUGGGCACGGAGCGAGCAGCGGGCAGGGAAUGGAGUGGGAAGGGAGCAGGGAGCAGGCAGGGAAUGGGCAGGGAGCAGGGAAACAGGGAACAGAUAAGGAGCAGGCAGGGAAUAAAGUGGGAAGGGAGCAGGGAACAGGCUGGGGAAUGGGCAGGGAGAACUUGGGGAACAGGCAGGGAGCAGGCAGAGACGGGCAGGGAGCAGGGAAACACACAGGGAACAGACAAGGAGCAGGCAGGGAAUGGGCAGCAGUGGGCAGAGGGCAGCUUGGUGCUGGCAGUGCCCUAUGGACACUCCGGCUGACACCCCCAGGGAAUAGGGAGCAGGCAGGGAAUAGAGAGCAGGCAGGGAACAGGGAGCAGGCAGGGAAUAGGGAGCAGGCAGGGAAUAGGGAACAGGGAGCAGGCAGGGAACAGGGAGCAGGCAGUGGCAGUGGCAGUGGCAGUAUCAGGGGCAGGAGAAGGGGCAGUGGCAGUGUCAUGGGCAGUAGCAGCAGCAAGGCCAGCCCCGGUCACACAGUCACAGCUGACACCUGA